Molecule: unclassified non-coding RNA, 399 nt
Filed under: Carex quixotiana
Lineage: Eukaryota; Viridiplantae; Streptophyta; Magnoliopsida; Poales; Cyperaceae
Description: Carex sp. CBB-2022a partial external transcribed spacer 1
Source: RNAcentral
UAUGCUUGCCCUUGUGACAUUUUUGUGUCGUUUGGGCAGCCGAAAUGUUGGCGAUAUCCUUGUGUUGGCGCGUGGUUGAAUGCUGUGUUGCUAUCACUUGGAUUUUUGCCGGCUCUCACGGAUGCGGUGCCUAGCGCUAGCUCUGCGGGACUUUGCCCUGCAGACUUCGGGAGGUCCCUUGUACGAAUCAUUGCUCUUAUACGCCGUCUUGUCGUGCCGCUACCGCGGCACGCARAUCGUGUUCUUUCGUGCAGUCGUUGACAGCACGAAACCGAACAUUAGUGUCCGGAGCGUGGUCUUGUGCACGUGGAAUGCCUCUCCRAUCGUAUGAGUAGCGAUUUCCGGUUCGCGUCAUGCRAAGGCCCCGCCCGUCCGGGUAGGUGCUGGAGCUGACGCGCC